This is a long non-coding RNA of Lycium ferocissimum, 355 nucleotides long. RefSeq lists it as uncharacterized. The record is from RefSeq and is a predicted model, not a curated record. The transcript is spliced from 3 exons. NCBI's taxonomy places the organism in Eukaryota, Viridiplantae, Streptophyta, Magnoliopsida, Solanales, Solanaceae.
AUCUGGCUAACCAUGCCAUUCAGGACUACAACAAUAGAGAAACUGAUGAUUACAAGUACGAGGUCGAGUCUGUUGAAAAAGUGAACUAUAUUUUGGCUGAAUGUCAUGAAUUCUUGAUGACCGUUAAAGUUAAAAAUCUCACUCUGCGUGUACCCGUAGAAACUUUUCAAAUCCAGGCAUAUAAGGGAACAGAUGCAGACAAUGUUGUCCGUACUUGCCGGAGAAAAUUGUUUGAGUUAAGUUGACUUGAAAAGAAGCUUCACCAGAGGCAAGGAAAGAAGCAGUUGAACUAUUGCUUUCUAAAUCUAGUACUAGUUGAGAACACUAUCAUAUUGUUGUGUUGCCUGGAGUUGGC